AUACGUAGGUGGCAAGCGUUGUCCGGAAUUAUUGGGCGUAAAGCGCAUGUAGGCGGUUUGGUAAGUCGGUCGUGAAAAUGCGGUGCUUAACGCCGUAUGGCGAUUGAAACUGCUGAACUUGAGUGCAGGAGAGGAAAGGGGAACUCCCAGUGUAGCGGUGAAAUGCGUAGAUAUUGGGAAGAACACCGGUGGCGAAGGCGCCUUUCGGGCCUGCGUGUGCAACUCAGAUGCGAAUGCCAGGGUGGAGACCGGGAUUAGAUCCCCCGGUAGCCCUGGCCGUAAACGAUGGUUACUAGGUGUGGGAGGUAUCGCCUCCUUCCGUGCCGGAGUUAACGCAAUAAGUACCCCGCCUGGGGAGUACGGCCGCAAGGCUUAAACUCAAAUGAAUUGACGGGG
RNAcentral lists this ribosomal RNA (396 nucleotides) under uncultured bacterium. Its description in RNAcentral is "partial 16S ribosomal RNA". It matches the Rfam family "Bacterial small subunit ribosomal RNA", at positions 523 to 918 of the family's 1533-position model. The record is from RNAcentral.